RNAcentral lists this ribosomal RNA (1092 nucleotides) under Dendrothrips minowai. RNAcentral's name for it is "16S ribosomal RNA". The stretch from base 711 to 1044 matches the Rfam family "Archaeal large subunit ribosomal RNA", at positions 2150 to 2716 of the family's 2987-position model. Lineage: Eukaryota; Metazoa; Arthropoda; Insecta; Thysanoptera; Thripidae. The record is from RNAcentral.
AAAUAACUAAUUAAGUCUUAAAAAUUUUUUAAAAGAUUUUUAUAAUAUUCUGAAAAGGAAAGGAAAAAAAAGUUAAAGAAAAGAAAAAAACUUGUUCCUUGUGUAUCAUGAUUUCUCGAAAUAAAAAAAUAUUUAAAAGUCUCGAUUUUAGAAGAUCUAUUUUAAUUUGAGAUUUUUAUUUCAACAAAAUAAAAAAAGAUAUAAUAGAAAUAAAAAAUUAACAAUUUUAAGGAUAUCUAGUUUUUUUAGAAAAAGAUUCAAUCUUAUUCAUUUUUAAAAAAAAAAUGAAAAAAUUUUAUAAGGGAUUAUCUUUAUAAAAAAUUAUUAAAAUUUAAGAUAAAAAAAACAAGGAAUAAAAUUAUCCCAUUAAUGUAAAAAUUAACCUUUUUAAAAAAAAAUUUUAUUUAACUAAUUAAUCUAUAAAAAAAAAAACGUAACCAAAUUAAAUUAUUAAUAUAAGAAAAUAAGUAAAUUUUUAAAAUAAUUUUUAGGAACUAGGCAAAUAAUUUUUCCGAAUGUUUAACAAAAACAUUGUUUCUCGAAUUUAUAAGAAAUAAAGCCUGCUCAGUGAAAUUUUUAACAGCCAUAAUUGCUAAGGUAGCAUAAUAAUUUGUCUCUUAAUUAGAGGCUAGAAUGAACGGUUAAACGAGAAAAAAACUUUCUUAAAAUUAAAAAUAAUUUUUUAUUUAAGUUAAAAGACUUAAAUGAAUUUUAAAGACGAUAAGACCCUAUAGAACUUAAAGAUUGAUAUAAAUAUAAAAAAAAUCGAAAAUUUUACUGGGGUAGUCGAAAAAAAAAAUUUUUUUUUCAAUUUAACGUUAAUAGACGAUAUUUAGAUCCUUAGAGAUAAAAAGAAAAAGUUACCUUAGGGAUAACAGAGUAAAACUUUUUGAGAGACCACAUUAAAAAAAGUAUUUGCUACCUCGAUGUUGGAUUAAGAUAAAUUUUAUUAGAAAAAAAAUAAAAAUUAGGUCUGUUCGACCUUUAAAUUCUUACAUGAUCUGAGUUAAGACCGGUGCAAGCCAGGUUGGUUUCUAUCUUAAAAUUAAGCUUUUUUAUAGUACGAAAGGACCUAAAAAAAAAAUUUUAUUU